GAAUCUGCCUAGAGGUUGGGGACAACCACUGGAAACGGUGGCUAAUACCCAAUGUGCCUAUUCGUGAAAGAUUUAUCGCCUCUAGAUGAGCUCGCGUCUGAUUAGCUAGUUGGUAGGGUAAAAGCCUACCAAGGCAUCGAUCAGUAGCUGGUCUGAGAGGAUGACCAGCCACACUGGGACUGAGACACGGCCCAGACUCCUACGGGAGGCAGCAGUGGGGAAUUUUCCGCAAUGGGCGAAAGCCUGACGGAGCAAGACCGCGUGAGGGAGGAAGGCUCUUGGGUCGUAAACCUCUUUUGUCAGGGAAGAACACAAUGACGGUACCUGACGAAUCAGCCUCGGCUAACUCCGUGCCAGCAGCCGCGGUAAUACGGAGGAGGCAAGCGUUAUCCGGAAUUAUUGGGCGUAAAGCGUCCGUAGAUGGUCGCUUCAAGUCUGCUGUCAAAGACCGGGGCUUAACCCCAGAAAGGCAGUGGAAACUGAACAGCUAGAGAGAGGUAGGGGUAGAGGGAAUUCCCAGUGUAGCGGUGAAAUGCGUAGAUAUUGGGAAGAACAUCAGUGGCGAAAGCGCUCUACUGGACCUUAUCUGACAUUGAGGGACGAAAGCUAGGGGAGCG
This 617-nucleotide ribosomal RNA is filed under the name uncultured cyanobacterium. RNAcentral describes it as "bacterial SSU rRNA". It matches the Rfam family "Bacterial small subunit ribosomal RNA", at positions 122 to 770 of the family's 1533-position model. The record is from RNAcentral. Lineage: Bacteria; Bacillati; Cyanobacteriota.